UACAGAGGGUGCAAGCGUUGUUCGGAAUUAUUGGGCGUAAAGGGCGCGUAGGCGGUGCGGUAAGUCUGUAGUGAAAUCUCUGGGCUCAACUCAGAGUCUGCUGCAGAAACUGCCGUGCUUGAGUGUGGGAGAGGUGAGUGGAAUUCCCGGUGUAGCGGUGAAAUGCGCAGAUAUCAGGAAGAACACCCGUGGCGAAGGCGGCUCUCUGGGACGGUACUGACGCUGAGACGCGAAAGCGUGGGGAGCGAACAGG
RNAcentral lists this ribosomal RNA (253 nucleotides) under uncultured bacterium. RNAcentral's name for it is "partial 16S ribosomal RNA". It matches the Rfam family "Bacterial small subunit ribosomal RNA", at positions 524 to 776 of the family's 1533-position model. The record is from RNAcentral.